Molecule: ribosomal RNA, 900 nt
Filed under: uncultured archaeon
Lineage: Archaea
Description: bacterial SSU rRNA
Rfam family: Archaeal small subunit ribosomal RNA
Source: RNAcentral
CCCGCCGGACCCUACUGCUAUCGGGGUGGGACUAAGACAUGCAAGUUGAGCGUCUCUAGGCUAUGGUAGAGACGCGGCAUACGGCUCAGUAACACGUGGCCAACCUACCCUUAGGACGGGGACAACCCCGGGAAACUGGGACUAAUAUCCGAUAGAUUAGGAGGCCUGGAAUGGUUCUUAGUCAAAAGGGCGUUGAAACCAUGCUUUUCAACGUCGCCUAAGGAUGGGGCCGCGCCCGAUCAGGCUGCUGGUGGGGUAAUGGCUCACCAAACCUAUAACCGGUGCGGGCCGUGAGAGCGGGAGCCCGGAGAUGGGCACUGAGAUAAGGGCCCAGUAGCCCUACGGGCGCAGUAGUCGCGAAAACUCCGCAAUGCGCGAAAGCGUGACGGGGCUACCCCGAGUGCCGUCCGCUGAGGAUGGCUUUUCCCCGGUGUAAUGAGCCGGGGGAAUAAGGAGAGGGCAAGUCUGGUGUCAGCCGCCGCGGUAAUACCAGCUCUCCGAGUGGUAGGGACGAUUAUUGGGCUUAAAGCGUCCUAGCCGUAGCCGCUAGCAAGUCCCCUGUUAAAUUCAGCGACCUAAUCGUUGAGCCGCGGGAGAUACUACUAGGCUAGGAAGCGGGAAAGGCCGACGGUAUUCUCGGGGUAGGGGUGAAAUCCUAUAAUCCCGGGAGGACCACCAGUGGCGAAGGCUGUCGGCUAGAACGCCCUCGACGGUAGGGACGAAAGCUGGGGGAGCGAACCGGAUUAGAUACCCGGGUAGUCCCAGCUGUAAACGAUGCGGGCUAGGUGUUGGGGGUGGCUACGAGCCACUUCAGUGCCGCAGGGAAGCCAUUAAGCCCGCCGCCUGGGGAGUACGGCCGCAAGGCUGAAACUUAAAGGAAUUGGCGGGGGAGCACUACAA